GCGCUGAUACUCGAGGCUGUGGCG
RNAcentral lists this non-coding RNA (24 nucleotides) under Mus musculus (house mouse). Lineage: Eukaryota; Metazoa; Chordata; Mammalia; Rodentia; Muridae. RNAcentral also lists the same sequence under 1 other name. The record is from RNAcentral.